RNAcentral lists this ribosomal RNA (1243 nucleotides) under metagenome. Its description in RNAcentral is "bacterial LSU rRNA". It matches the Rfam family "Bacterial large subunit ribosomal RNA", at positions 1564 to 2817 of the family's 2925-position model. The record is from RNAcentral.
UGAAUACGAGACGCUAAGGCGUCGAAGUAGUGUAUGUCAUACUUCCAAGAAAAGCUUGCACUGUCAUAGAUAAAAAACGCCUGUACCAUAACCGACACAGGUGGGUAGGUAGAGUAUACUAAGGGGCGCGAGAUAACUCUCUCUAAGGAACUCGGCAAAAUAACUCCGUAACUUCGGGAGAAGGAGUGCCUUAUUCGUAAGGUUGCAAUAACAAGAUCCAAGCAACUGUUUAUCAAAAACACAGGUCUCCGCUAAGUCGUAAGACGAUGUAUGGGGCUGACGCCUGCCCAGUGCCAGAAGGUUAAAGAAGUUGGUUAGCAAUUGCGAAGCUGAUAACUGAAGCCCUGGUGAACGGCGGCCGUAACUAUAACGGUCCUAAGGUAGCGAAAUUCCUUGUCGGGUAAGUUCCGACCCGCACGAAAGGCGUAAUGAUUUGGAUACUGUCUCGGAGAGGGGCUCGGUGAAAUAGACUUGUCUGUGAAGAUGCGGACUACCUGCACCAGGACAGAAAGACCCUAUGAAGCUUUACUGUAACUUGAAAUUGAAAUUGGACUUUAUUCGCGCAGUAUAGGUGGGAGGCGUUGAUUAUAAUCUUGUGGGAUUAUUGGAGCCAUCAGUGAGAUACCACUCUUGUAAUGUUAGAUUUCUAACUUUGAAUCAUUAUCUGGUCAAAGAACAGUUUCAGGCGGGCAGUUUGACUGGGGCGGUCGCCUCCUAAACGGUAACGGAGGCGUACAAAGGUUUCCUCUGAACGGUUAGAAAUCGUAUCUAGAGUGUAAAGGCAUAAGGAAGCUUGACUGUGAGACCUACAAGUCGAGCAGGGACGAAAGUCGGUCUUAGUGAUCUGACGGUACUGAGUGGAAAGGCCGUCACUCAACGGAUAAAAGUUACUCUAAGGAUAACAGGCUGAUCUCCCCCAAGAGUUCACAUCGACGGGGAGGUUUGGCACCUCGAUGUCGGCUCAUCGCAUCCUGGGGCGGUAGUACGUCCCAAGGGUUGGGCUGUUCGCCCAUGAAAGCGGUACGCGAGCUGGGUUCAGAACGUCGUGAGACAGUUCGGUCCAUAUCCGGUGUAGGCGUUAGAAUAUUGAGAGGAGCCUUCUUUAGUACGAGAGGACCGAGAAGGACAUACCUCUGGUGUACCAGUUAUCGUGCCAACGGUAAACGCUGGGUAGCUAUGUAUGGAGUGGAUAACCGCUGAAAGCAUCUAAGUGGGAAGCCCACCUCAAGAUAAGUAUUCUCAU